RNAcentral lists this ribosomal RNA (427 nucleotides) under uncultured bacterium. RNAcentral's name for it is "bacterial SSU rRNA". It matches the Rfam family "Bacterial small subunit ribosomal RNA", at positions 355 to 775 of the family's 1533-position model. The record is from RNAcentral.
UGGGGAAUAUUGGACAAUGGGGGAAACCCUGAUCCAGCAACGCCGCGUGAGCGAUGAAGGCCUUCGGGUCGUAAAGCUCUGUCAGAUGGAACGAAAGAAGCUUACCUAAUACGUAAGCUGUUGACGGUACUAUCAAAGGAAGCACCGGCUAACUCUGUGCCAGCAGCCGCGGUAAGACAGAGGGUGCAAGCGUUGUUCGGAAUUACUGGGCGUAAAGCGUGCGUAGGUGGUUUUGUGUGUCUGGUGUGAAAUCCCUUGGCUCAACCAAGGAAGUGCGCCGGAAACUGCAGAACUGGAGUGUAGGAGAGGAUAGUAGAAUUCUCAGUGUAGAGGUGAAAUUCGUAGAUACUGGGAGGAACACCGGUGGCGAAGGCGACUAUCUGGACUACAACUGACACUGAUGUACGAAAGCGUGGGUAGCAAACAG